UACGAAGGGGGCUAGCGUUGUUCGGAAUUACUGGGCGUAAAGGGCUCGUAGGUGGCCAACUAAGUCAGACGUGAAAUCCCUCGGCUUAACCGGGGAACUGCGUCUGAUACUGGAUGGCUUGAGUUCGGGAGAGGGAUGCGGAAUUCCAGGUGUAGCGGUGAAAUGCGUAGAUAUCUGGAGGAACACCGGUGGCGAAGGCGGCAUCCUGGACCGGCACUGACACUGAGGAGCGAAAGCCAGGGGAGCAAACGGG
Molecule: ribosomal RNA, 253 nt
Filed under: uncultured bacterium
Lineage: Bacteria
Description: partial 16S ribosomal RNA
Rfam family: Bacterial small subunit ribosomal RNA
Source: RNAcentral